UGAAUGAGUGUAAUGACUGCAGUGGG
RNAcentral lists this non-coding RNA (26 nucleotides) under Rattus norvegicus (Norway rat). The record is from RNAcentral. Lineage: Eukaryota; Metazoa; Chordata; Mammalia; Rodentia; Muridae.